This 497-nucleotide ribosomal RNA is filed under the name uncultured bacterium. RNAcentral describes it as "partial 16S ribosomal RNA". It matches the Rfam family "Bacterial small subunit ribosomal RNA", at positions 28 to 507 of the family's 1533-position model. The record is from RNAcentral.
GAUGAACGCUGGCGGCGUGCCUAAUACAUGCAAGUCGAGCGAACGGACGAGAAGCUUGCUUUUCUGAUGUUAGCGGCGGACGGGUGAGUAACACGUGGAUAACCUACCUAUAAGACUGGGAUAACUUCGGGAAACCGGAGCUAAUACCGGAUAAUAUUUUGAACCGCAUGGUUCAAAAGUGAAAGACGGUCUUGCUGUCACUUAUAGAUGGAUCCGCGCUGCAUUAGCUAGUUGGUAAGGUAACGGCUUACCAAGGCGACGAUGCAUAGCCGACCUGAGAGAGUGAUCGGCGACACUGGAGGUGAGACGCGGUCCAGACUCCUACGGGAGGCAGCAGUAGGGAAUCUUCCGCAAGGGGCGAAAGCCUGACGGAGCAACGCGGCGUGAGUGAUGAAGGUGUUCGGAUCGUAAAACUCUGUUAUUAGUGAAGAACAUAUGUGUACGUAACUGUGCAGAUAUUGACGGUACCGGGUCAGAAAGCCACGGCUAACUACGUG